Oreochromis aureus is the source of this 583-nucleotide long non-coding RNA. The record is from Ensembl. NCBI's taxonomy places the organism in Eukaryota, Metazoa, Chordata, Actinopteri, Cichliformes, Cichlidae.
ACAGACAACCAUUAUGAGAAUGAUCGACCAGAACUACUGACAAAUGUACUGUGUCAGAUAUAAAGGUAUGUGGUUGUGACUGAGAAACUCUCUUUUGUGACAGCUGAAUCAUUUUAGCAGCAAAGUGUUCUCCCAGUUGCAAAAAGUGUUUCCAUGGCGACUCGGAUACAGCAGUUGGCUCAACCCAAACCGAACCGACUAAGAUAUCCAGACCGUCGGUCUGUUUACUGGCUGGAUAAGCUUCCACCAGAAAGGAGCGGAUUAACCACUAAAAUUGGUCUGUUUCCCAAUCUUUUCCUUUUUUCUUCUCUUGGCAAACUUGAUCUUUGCUGCCUUUUUGUAACACCGUGCAUAAUUGUUAUUUUGUUUUCAACAGAGUUAACCCCCUGCUGGUCAGACUUGUGCAUAAGUAAAAAGUUCUACAAUCAAGUCACGUAAAUAUAAUAGACUUCUAACUAGAAAGCGAAAAUUUCAGAAGAAAUUUUAUGUGUGCCUAUGCCGCUGCUAAUCACUGUAGUUUGCCAUUCAUACGGCUACAGAGAGCAAAACUCAGAAGAGCAGCCAUUCUCCACCAUGAACUAUG